This 253-nucleotide ribosomal RNA is filed under the name uncultured bacterium. Its description in RNAcentral is "partial 16S ribosomal RNA". It matches the Rfam family "Bacterial small subunit ribosomal RNA", at positions 524 to 776 of the family's 1533-position model. The record is from RNAcentral.
UACGGAGGGUGCGAGCGUUGUCCGGAUUUAUUGGGUUUAAAGGGUGCGUAGGUGGCUUUAUAAGUCAGUGGUGAAAUACAGCCGCUUAACGGUUGAGGUGCCAUUGAUACUGUAGAGCUUGAAACAAUUGGAGGCUGCCGGAAUGGAUGGUGUAGCGGUGAAAUGCAUAGAUAUCAUCCAGAACACCGAUUGCGAAGGCAGCUGACUACAGGGAUAUUGACACUGAGGCACGAAAGCGUGGGGAUCAAACAGG